This 1604-nucleotide long non-coding RNA is filed under the name Macaca fascicularis (crab-eating macaque). Its description in RNAcentral is "lncRNA (ENSMFAG00000060845.1)". Lineage: Eukaryota; Metazoa; Chordata; Mammalia; Primates; Cercopithecidae. The record is from RNAcentral.
UUUUUUUUUUUUUUCAGAGAGAGAGUCUCACUCUGUGGCCCAAGCUGGAGUGCAGUGGCACUAUCUCAGCUCACUGCAACCUCUGCCUUCCAGGUUGAAGCAAUUCUCUUGCCUCGCCUCCCAAAUAGCUGGGAUUACAGGCGUGCACCACCAUGCCCAGCUAAUUUUUGUAUUUUUAGUAGAGACAGGGUUUCACCAUGUUGGUCAGGCUGGUCUUGAACUCCUAGGCUCAAGUGAUCUGCUCGCCUUGGCCUCCCAAAGUGCUGGGAUUACAGGCGUGAGCCACCGUAUCUGACCAGAAAUUUAUUUCUCAAAGUUCUGGAGGCUGGAAAUCCAAAAUCAGAAUCAAGUUCUGGGAGGGGCCUUCUUCUUCCUUCAGAUGGCCAGCUUCUCAUUGUAUCCUCAGCUGGCGGAGCACAGAGAGAAGAGGCAAGCAAGAAGCAGCAAGCUCUCUCAGGACUCUGGUUUUAGAGACCAGGUCUUGCUCUGUCACCCUGGCUGGAGUGCAGUAGCACAAAUAGCUCACUGCAACCUCCAACGCCUGGCCUCAAGCAAUCCUCCUGCGUUGGGCUCCUGAAAUGCUGGUAUUACAGGUAUGAGCCACCAUGCCUAGCCCCGUUCAUGAAUGAAGGCACUAAUCUCAUUCAUGAGGGCUCCAAUGACCUCAUCUAAUCCUAGUUACCUCCAAAAGCCCCACCUCCUAAUAUCAUCACUUUGAGGGGUAGGGUUUCAACGUACGCAUUUAGUUGGGGAAACUUAGUGUACAGCAGGGACCAAACACAUCAUGUCAAGAGAAGCAAGAGACAAAUACUUCGAAACUGGCCUUGAUCCUUAGAAUAUCAUCUGGUUACUCUUAAAUAAGGGCUCUCCAAAUGCUGCCUCUGUAGAUCAAAGCCAAAGAACCCAACUCAUCAAGAGUGGCUGCAAAAGGCACAGCCCACACAGUCUGAGCACUAGAGAGGAUCCCUAGGCAUCCCCUAGAUUCCAGGCCAAAGGCCCUCAUCACCUAUUUGGUGACAGACUCAAGUAUGAGCUUAUGGAUUUUGAAAUGGAAAGCAGCUGGUUCGGGAAGGAGUCCUUUGCACAUAGAGGUGCCCAAUAAAUGCUGGAUGCUGGGAAACUAAUAUACUCCAAAGGAGGCCAAUGUUCUGUAAUUUGAGGAGAGGAGGCUGAGUAGGAGUAGGGGGUCUUGCUACUUCAGUCAAGGUAACCCGGAAGCCUACUCUGCACCCCUACCAAACUGGAGGUGGGAGGACAGGUUACCAUUAGGUCAGAUCAGCCUCCUAAGCUGGUGUGAACCAUUCUCAGGCCACCGCUGAGCCUACCUAGGCUCUGGUCUUGUCUAGACACUUCCUCUCCAGCUGAGGCUGGGAAGCAGGUGUAGUCACUCACAGCCUCACUCUUCACGGUGCUGCCAUUAGGACCCUGAUUAGUAGAGCCCCAUGCCGGGUUGCUAAUGGGUUGAGGACAUUAAGCAUAAAUGCUUUCCCAGAUAUGGGCUUGAGCAGAGCCCAGGAAGAAACAAAUAUUUUAAUCUCAAAUAAAUAGAAUGUCGGCGGGGAGGGGUUCCCUCUGCUUACUUGGCAUCUGUUGUCCUCCCAUCC